This is a long non-coding RNA of Xiphophorus couchianus (Monterrey platyfish), 5692 nucleotides long. RefSeq lists it as uncharacterized. Lineage: Eukaryota; Metazoa; Chordata; Actinopteri; Cyprinodontiformes; Poeciliidae. The record is from RefSeq and is a predicted model, not a curated record. The transcript is spliced from 2 exons.
UUUCAAAAGGUUUUUUUAUAUUUAGCCAAGUUUAUAAAUAAAAUAGAAGCUGUUUUGUGCAGCAAAUUCAGCUUUUCACUAAGAGUCUCUGGAUAUUAAAGUGUUAAUAUAAACAUACUAGUAGUUUCUGUUUUACUUAACAUUUUCCAUUGAAAGAAAAUUAUGUCAGUAAUCGUUUUUACCCAAAUUACAGAUAAAAAGUCUCAGUUUACAUUAUCCACCUGUGCUGGAUACGCCAAAUUUGUAUCAUUCUCAAACUGUAGUUGGGGGGCCGACCAAUUGUAAUCCCAAGGCCACAAAUGGCCCCGGGCCACACGUUGGAUACCCAUGGCCUAAUCAGUCAUCCAAGCAUUAGGUUCCGGAGAAUUCAUGAUGGCGUUUUCAUAAGCCGAAGAGGAAGGUUUUAGGGAAAAGUAUGAAAUGUUUGCAAAAACUAAAGAAUGAAGUUAACUGCUACACAACAGAAGAAAUAGUUAAAGGUGAUCUAUUAACAGAUUAGGAUAUGUCUGCGCUGUCAAUGUUAUUGUUUAAAUCCGGACAUUUUUGCGCAUGCGCACAACACUGAAGGGCAAAAAUACGAUUCUGUUACUUGCCAUCCAUAACCACACUGCUGCAGUAGAACAAUCCUGUUAACUAAAUAACACCUGGAGAUGGAGGUAUUAUUAAUCUAGUGCAGUGUGUCACAGCAAAGGGAAAAAAUAACGCAGAAAAAUUGUUGAAGAGCUCAAAACCAUUCAUAUGCUAUGCUACACACACCCUAUCGCCAUAGCAACUGACUGACUACUGCUCCACUAGUACAGUAUAUCAGGACUUAACACCAAAAAACACCCAAACAUUUCCCACACAACAAACAGAACAUUCAGUCCAUUACAGUUUUAUGUUUUUAGGAUUGAUGUUUAUUUUGUGAUUAUUGAUAAGUGAUCGUAUGAACUCAGCUCUGAUCUGUCAGAGAGUUGGUGUGAUGGUCGCCUUUGUUUUUGUUUUUUACUGAACCGAAAGACCCAAAAUUCUGCAAAGUCAAGCUAGCAUAACUGACCUACUUCCUUCUCACUCGUUAAUUUUACUUUUAUGAAAUUCCUGACUUUAUUUAGUUGUCAUAGUGUUGACGAUUAGUACCAAAGCACUCCGUCCCUUUUCCUUUUAUAUAUCACUCAUACAUUUAAGAUUUUGAUGGCUGCCACUGGACUCCUGAAGAGACAAUAUGUUGCAAACCCUCAACUGACCACAAUUAAACACCUGCAGUAGGACUUUCAGUUUCCACAGUAAGAAAGUAAGAUGUCUGAAGUCCAAGAUGUUUACUAUGAUCAACCCAAGGAAAGUCGACUUCAAUUUGUUCAAAAGUGAGAUAAGAUUCCUGCCAGAAGCCAUUGAGUGACAUUUAAAAGUAAUAUAGAUGCUUGUUGUGAAGGGGUUGAAUCACUUUGGUACAGCAGUAGUCAUUAAAGGUUGAGGUUUAUGUUUAAUUUGAAUUGUAAUGUAAAAUGCUUCUGGUUGACUUGUUCAUCCUAAAGCUGGUUGUAUGUUUGGGCAAUGAUAUUGAAUAUUUUAAGGUUCUAACGUAAUUGGAUGUAGCAGAAGUAAAGGUUGAUGUUUGGUGAGUUUGGCAGGUUUGUUGGAGUCUCUUGAAUAAAUAAUCACAGUUUUUUUCCCCCUCAGGUCUUUCCCACAUCGGAGAGGCUUGAUUCAUUAUGACAGCGCGUCUCUGGAGGGAAAUCUCAAAGGGUCUGACGGUCUUUCCCACAUCGGAGAGGCUUGAUUCAUUAGGACAGCGGGUCUCUGGAGGGAAAUCUCAAGGGGUCUUCUAAUGGUGCGAGUGACUGAAAAACACUCGGCAAGGAAAAACCUGAAGAAAGACAACACUUCCUUUUUUUCCUCCCUCUUUCAUUAAAAACAAAUGAGCUCUCCCUGUCAACAAAGUACCAUAAGCGCUCCACCAGCGCCACCAGCAGCAUCAGCAGCAGCCUGGGGAAUUCCCAUUAAAGGCGUUUGAGGCCGAAUCGGCGUACAAAUAGAUGCCGUGCUCCUGGGAAAUCACGGCAACAAGCAGAUACAUGUUAAAACUCGGGAGAGGCUUCCCCAAAAUCCAGAUGUGACUGUGGUUCGCCGGCCGCCCCGGCCAGUAAUGAACCAAUUAGACAGACAAUUAUGAACACCUGUGAUGCUGAUUGGCACGGCGCGGCCGCGUCUCCUUCCGCAGCGCUAAAGACGCACCGAAUGUUGCUAAAGUUAACCUUUAACAAGGCCUGUAAUGAUGACGAGGGGCCAAACACACACACACACACACACACACAGGAGGUUCGCAUUAGGAAGAGCAGCUCAUCCCACUCAGCUGCUUAUUGCGUCAUGUAUUAUUGAAGGCAGCUCUUGUAUAAACACAACUCCAAUAAAUUGGGGUCUCAGUUUUUCAGAUUCAUUAAGGUUAAUGCAGUUUUAAUUAGUGCUUGAUUUGAAGCCUAUUAGAGGCAAUUUAUAAGUCCUUCUUGUGGACCUGAGAAAUGACGUUGCGUGGGAUUAAUAUGAUAAAAGGCACAAGUUGGAGCUGCGGUCCCUGCUGGGUUGAAGGGAUUCCUCUCGUUUCGCUGUAACGGCUUGUUUAUUUGCACAACUGCUUUCAGGCACAUUAAAACAAUCUAAUGAAUGAGCAGCUUUGGCUUCAGGGAUUGCUUCAUCCACUGCUUGGACAAAUGAAACUGAAGUGAUUAGUGCUGAUUAGAAGAAUGCAGAAGAAAUGGAUUGAAACAGACAACGAGAUGUCCUUUAACCUUUCAGAGCAACUUUAUUCUCCAGGCGCUCAGGUCAGUUUGUCUUACAUUUAAAUCUGAGGUGUUUAACUUCUAUUAAAAAAAUUGUUUUUUACAUAUUUGUUAAAAGCGUUAUGUUGUGACAGCAAAAUAUGAGACAAAUUAUCAGUGAAAAGAUUGAUUUCCUCCACCUUCUCCCCACAAAAACAAACAAUCAGAGCCAGUAGGACUGUCUUAGUGCUGUCAAUCAACCUGUGAACAUGUUGCUAAAUGUCCUAAUGGUGGAGAAACAACUUAUUACAGGAAAAUUGUUUAUUUACCAUCAUCGGUGGCUAUGCAAUGAGCCUGAGCAUUGACAGUAGGGUACAUUAGCUGCAGCAUAGCAGGUAGCUACAGGCAGGGUGAUUGAUAGCGCUAAGACCCGCCUCCUGGCUCUGAUUGGUUGUUUCUAGUUAGCAUUGGGAGAAGGCAGAGGAGCUAAAACAUUUUCAUGGAUUAUCUGGGGAUAGUUUCAACAAAUAUAUAAAAAUUACAUCGUUUUAUAAAAAUGACUGCAGUUUUAAGGCAGGAGUGUCCAAACAUUUCACCCAGAGGACCAAAACUGACAACCUUGAACUUGUUGUGGGCCACAAAAUUAAGUUAAUUAAAAAUGAAAAAUAUUGUUCAUUGUGAUCAGUUGUUUGAACAAAAUUUUUUAUAAAAUCUGUAAAUCCAUUAAAUAUCCAAAACAUAAGUGGGUCUGGACUGUUUACUUAUUAAAUUAAAAACAUUAUUAUUUUUUUUUAUUUUUGGGUCAUCAAUUGUUUUUACCAGGCUUGAUAUAACUUCAACUGUACAAAAACACACAGCAGAUUCUGAAGAAAUAUAAAAAGGUGUGUAUGAAAAACUAAGUACACCCCAUAAUUCAAGAACCACUUUUACUGGCAAUAACUUGAAGUUAUAUGAUUCUAAAUACAGCUUCAAUAAAAUAAAUAUUAUUUAUUCCAAAGGGAGCUUGAAUGUAGUAACUCAUAUCUGUAUCUUCAUAGAGUUGUGAUGCUGUGGGCAGGAAGGAUCUCUGGUAGCAGUCAGUCUUACAACAGAUCUGAAGAGGUCUCUGACUGAAGAUGGUCUGAUCACAGCCCCAACAUGCUAACAGCUCAAUAUGCAGGUAGGAGAGACACCAAGCUCUGCUAAUCCACUUCAUUUGCUUGUGCUACCUUCUUUAAAGUCAGAAUUUUGAAAUUAAAGUCAAAAUUCUGAAAAGGUAGAAUUUUUUUUUUUCCAUAGUAAAGAUUGUCAUUACUGCUCCACAUAUUUUAAAAAGUGAAGUUAAACUAAAUUUUGCUUGCAAAUAGACAUUAUAUAUAUAUAUAUAUAUAUAUUUUUUUUUUGUUGAUAGAAACGUAAUAAUUUUGGUUUUCAUAUUGUAACUGUACUCCACAUCAAGCAGCUCAGUGCUGUUGCCGUUGAUGUAAAAUAAACCAAAUAUUCUCUUGAGGUUUAUUGAGUAAAAAGGUCCACUGCUAUUCAGAGUCUGGAAGCCGUAAAGUACAAGCAGAACACAAAUGCCCCACAAAACAGUUUGAUUGUCCUUUUCAGCAGGAGCAUGUUUAGCCCAGCUGGGCCACAUGGUGCUUUACUCUCUCAAAACAUGGAGGUGUAGAACGAACUGUUGUGGGCCACUCUGGAGUGGAGAUGGCCUGAAAUUACAGCAAGACGGAGGGGAGACGAACCGUUGACAGCAGGAGUCACAAUACAUUAGCAGAGCCUCCAACUGGCACACACACACAUACACACACCCACACACACACACACACUCACACACAUGCACGCCGUCAUGUUUUUGUAUCUUGUAGGGACUUUACAUUGACUUCCAUUCAUUUUCUAGAGGGUAACACUUACCCUAACCAUCACAUGAUUAACCUCUAACCCUCAUCAAAACUCAAUUCACACAUAAAUCCUAAACUUAACCCCAACCCCCAAAACAGCGAAAUGUCCCCACAAGAUGCAGUGUCCCCACCACCCCACAGUUAGACAGCAGUAGGUCCCCACAAAGAUAUAAAAACCGGGUUCACACACACACAUGUUUGCAUAGCUAUCUUUGUGGGGACCUUCCAUUGACUUCCAUUCAUUUCUACAGCCUAAACCUUACCCUUAUCCUAACCCUGUCCAUUACAUACCUAACCCAAACUCAACCAAAACCUCAACCCAAUUCACACCUUAGUCCUAAAUCUAACCUCUGACCCGAAAACAGAACUUCAGUCUAACCCCUAACCGAAACCUGUGGGGACCAGGCUUCGGUCCCCACAGGGAGCAGUGGGUCCUCACAACGUUGUAUGUGUCAGGAAAAUGGUUCCCACAAGGUAUUACAAACAAACGCAAACACACACACACACACACACACACACACACCAGAAUCUGGAUGAAUUGUUAACAUGCUGUCUGAACAUCACCCUCUCAUUUCUCCUCUUUCAAGCGGGAAAGCGGCGCCCCUGAAAAAGUUAGCAGGCAGGUGGAAGUCCUGUGUUUGGCUCGCAGGUUGCCGUGGCGACCUCCCAGCUUUCCAUGUUUGGAAAUUGCCACCAGGAGCGACUAAAACGCUCCCAUCUGCAAACUCGGGAGAGACCUGAGAUCAAUUUUGUUGCGUUUACUCCAGAGAGGCUCACAAUGGGAGUUCGCUGAAGAUCACUUUCCAGUUGGAUGUGAGCAAGACGGCGACGGUUCGCACGUCCCGCUGCCUCAUAUCUGUGUAACGUGAGCCGCGCAUUGCUUCAGUCUCAACACUGUUCCCCUAAACAGGAUUUAAUUUGCACAUGCAAGACAUGCACUCCUUUAUGGAGCAUAUUAAAGAUGAUGUUCAAACAUAUUAUCAAAUUUAACCCAAUUAUGUCUGUUUUCUUUUCAUUUUAUAGCCAUAAGCAGCGAAAGUUGACUUUUAAUCAAAGAGAGAAAAUAAAUCUUUACACUGU